AAAUGAAUAGACGGGGGCCCGCACAAGCGGUGGAGCAUGUGGCUUAAUUCGAUGCUACGCGAAGAACCUUACCCAGGUUUGACAUGUAGGAGACCGGGUGUGAAAGCACCCUUUCCUUCGGGACUGCUACACAGGUGCUGCAUGGCUGUCGUCAGCUCGUGUCGUGAGAUGUUCGGUUAAGUCCGGCAACGAGCGCAACCCUCGUCCUUAGUUGCCAGCGGGUUAUGCCGGGGACUCUAGGGAGACAAACUCUUUUUAAGAGUGGGAAGGUGGGGAUGAUGUCAAGUCAGCAUGGCCCUUACGCCUGGGGCUGCACACGUGCUACAAUGCCCGAUACAAUGGGAAGCAAUAUCGCAAGAUGGAGCAAAUCCACAAAAUCGGGCCCAGUUCAGAUUGAAGUCUGCAAUUCGACUUCAUGAAGCCGGAAUCGCUAGUAAUGGCAUAUCAGCUACGGUGCCGUGAAUACGUUCCCGGGCCUUGUACACACCGCCCGU
RNAcentral lists this ribosomal RNA (494 nucleotides) under uncultured bacterium. RNAcentral's name for it is "bacterial SSU rRNA". It matches the Rfam family "Bacterial small subunit ribosomal RNA", at positions 903 to 1397 of the family's 1533-position model. The record is from RNAcentral.